This 125-nucleotide ribosomal RNA is filed under the name Pteropus vampyrus (large flying fox). Lineage: Eukaryota; Metazoa; Chordata; Mammalia; Chiroptera; Pteropodidae. The record is from RNAcentral.
GCCUACAGCCAUGCCAUCCUGAAAGUGCCCGAUCUCAUCUGAUCUCAGAAUCAGAAGCUAAGCAGGGUCGGACUUGGUUAAUACUUGGAUGGGAGACCACCUAGGAAUACCAGAUGCUGUAGGCU